UAGGGAAUAUUAGAAAUGGACGAAAGUCUGAUCUAGCAACACCGCGUGUGCGAAGAAGGCCUUCGGGUCGUAAAGCACUUUUUGGAAGGAAUAGGAAGGAAUGUACUUCCAGAAUAAGUCUCGGCUAACUACGUGCCAGCAGCCGCGGUAACACGUAGGAGGCAAACGUUAUCCGGAUUUACUGGGCGUAAAGCGCGUGUAGGUGGUUCUGUAAGUAGGGCGUGAAAGCUCCCGGCUCAACUGGGAGAGGCCGUUCUAAACUACAGAACUAGAGGAUGGUAGAGGGAGGUGGAAUUCCAGGUGUAGCGGUGGAAUGCGCAGAUAUCUGGAGGAACACCAGUGGCGAAGGCGGCCUCCUGGACCAUUCCUGACACUCAGACGCGAAAGCUAGGGUAGCAAACGGG
This 404-nucleotide ribosomal RNA is filed under the name uncultured bacterium. Its description in RNAcentral is "bacterial SSU rRNA". It matches the Rfam family "Bacterial small subunit ribosomal RNA", at positions 355 to 776 of the family's 1533-position model. The record is from RNAcentral.